Molecule: long non-coding RNA, 928 nt
Filed under: Pan troglodytes (chimpanzee)
Lineage: Eukaryota; Metazoa; Chordata; Mammalia; Primates; Hominidae
Description: long non-coding RNA NONPTRT005912
Source: RNAcentral
CGGCAACGGCGUAAUAGCUCAACCGAAGCGCUGUCACGGUGAUUUAGAACCAGUGUGUCUCUCCUGCAGCCUCCAUUCUGGGUGCCUCCACCCCCUUGCCGUCGUCAUGUUGCAUCCUGUUUCUGUCUGAAAACCCUUGUCUUUCUGAAUCCAUCUUUCAGUCUCUCACGUUCUGUCUCUCCCCUCCUCCUUCACCUUCCCUCCAUCCCUCUCCCUUGCGCACUUGCCGGGUACCAGCUGAGUGCAUCCUUUUCCCAAACCUGCUCUGCUUCCAAGGGGCCCUUUUCUGUCUCCUCCACCUGUCCCCAUGUUUUGGGGACUGCCUGGAAAUCUGGGACACCCUCCUGAGGAGGGAGCUGGUGCCCAACGGCACCUCUUAGGAUGAACCCCGCCAGCUGCGUUCCUGGCCUCUGCAGAAUGGCAUACAGAAGGCAUUUUAAGCAAGCGAGCUGAGCUCGCCGCAGGACUCCGACUACCAGGCACCGGCAAGAUGUGGGAAUCCUGACAGGUUGCCGCUGAAGAUCCUGCAGUUGGUGUGUGCAAGCUGACAGCCAGGCCGCUGCCGGAGGAAGGGGGUCCUCUGUGCUUUGCAUGUCUCUGGGUAUUUGGGAAACUUGGCAGCCAGUUGCUCUAAGUGAACCCUGACUCUGGAGUAGGCACUGGGCACCCUGGCGGAGAGGACAGAGCCGGAGACAAGGACUGGCCUCAGGGAGUUUCCAGUUCAAAUAGGAACAGACCCGAUCACACGCGAUACGCUCACCCUCAGACACAUUGCUGCUGCCUGCAUUUCCUCCGGGCUGCCAUCCCCCUUCCCCUGCCCUGGCCUCUGUCUGCCACGGCUGCCCUUGUCUACCUGCCAAGCUCUAAUUAUCGUUAAACAUCCCCUGUCACUGCUUCCCGGAAAUCUUUAACUUCCACCCAAGAACAG